GCGCGUUAUGCUAUUUGCUCGAGACCCGAAGCCAAGCGAGCUUGCCAUGGCCAGGGUGAAUUUUGACGAAAGUCACAUGGAGGCCCGAACCCGUGAGCCGUGCAAUACUCUGGGAUGAGCUGUGGUAAGAAGUGAAAAGCUAAUCGAGCUUGGUAAUAGCUGGUUCUCCCCGAAAUAACUUUAGGGUUAGCCUGAGCAUAUAACUACCUACAGGGGUAGAGCACUAAAUGGAUUAUCGUGGGUUUUACCUAGGCAAUCCAAUUAAACUCCGAAUACUGUAGGUAUGUGCUUGGAGUUAGACUGUGGGGGCUAAGCUCCAUAGUCAAAAGGGAAACAGCCCAGACCUUCAUCUAAGGUCCCUAAAUUUGAGCUAAGUGCAGCAAAGGAAGUAGAAAUCCAUUGAUAGUUAGGAGGUUAGCUUAGAAGCAGCUAUCCUUUAAAAAGUGCGUAAUAGCUUACUAAUUAAGGAAUUCUGCGCCAAAAAUUUACAGGGCUAAAGCUCAAUACCGAAGAUAAGGCUGAGUACUCAAUUCGUUGAGUGCUCGGGGUAGGGGAGCGUCCCUAUUGCAAUGAAGUUCCGCCGUAAGGUUGGGAUGGAGCGAUGGGGAGUGAGAAUGUUGGCAUGAGUAACCGCAAUCCCGGUGAAAGCCCGGGACACCGAAAUCCUAAGGUUUCCUUGGCAAUGACGAUCAACCAAGGGUUAGGCGGGCCUAAGGCGUAGCCGAAAGGCGAAGCUGAUGGACAGCCGGUUAAUAUUCCGGCCCCCGGGUACAUAAUUCUGAAGAGGGGACGAAGUCUAGUAGUCUAAGCAAGUUAUUGGAUUCUUGUCGCUAACUUAAGGAUUUUCCAAGAGUUAGCGGGAAGCUUCGGUUCGCCGGAGUGAACUUAGAUAAGCAGGCUCCCAAGAAAAGCCUUUUCAGAAGUUACUUAUGUGCCUGGUCCGUACCGUAAACCAACACAGGUAGGAUGGCGUAAGAGUGCCAAGGUGAACGGGUGAAACCUCGUUAAGGAACUCGGCAAAAAAGCGUCCGUAAGUUCGCGAUAUGGACUUCCCAUUAGAUAAUUUAUCUAACGGGAUGCAACGAACGAUCCCCUAGCGACUGUUUAUCAAAAACACAGGUCCCUGCUUAACUCGUAAGAGAAUGUAUAGGGGCUGAGGCCUGACCAGUGCUGGAACGUCAACAGCGGCGGUUCAAGUACAUAAUUCGUUAUGUGCUCGAGCUAACCGCUCGAAGCGCCAGUGAACGUCCGCCGUAACUAUAACGGUGUUAAAGUAGCGUAGUCCCUUGCCAGGUAAGUUCUGGCCCGCAUGAAAGGCUUAACGACUAGGGGACUGUCUCAACGAGGAGCCCGGUGAAAAUGCAAUACCGGUAAAGAUGCCGGUUACCUGCGGCUAGACGGAAAGACCCCGGGAGCUUUACUGUAGUCAGAUAUUGAGUUUUGGUUUUGGAUGCGUAGCGUAGAAGGGAGACUUUGAAGUCCGCCUUUCGGGGCGGAUGGAGUCGUCAAUGAAACACCUUUCUUUUAAAACUUUUGUUCUAAUCCCGAGAUUAUCGAAGGAAACAGUGUCUGGCGGUCAGUUUAAGUGGGGCGCUUGCCUCCUAAAAGGUAACGGAGGCGUUUAAAGGUCGGCUAGCUCCGGAUGGAAAUCGGAGCGAUCGGGCAAAGCCAAAAGCCGGCUUUACUGCAAGCAGGAUAUUGCGCGCAGUUGGGAAACCAGAACUUAGUGAACCGACCGUGGUUAAUAGAAUCGCGGAAGAUCAUCAGCUAAAAGUUACCCCGGGGAUAGACUCUGAAAUAAGAGUUUGUUGUCCAAUCCCGCAGCAAUGCGGGAAAUGUACGGCUUAUAACGGUGAACCAAAAACUGGUCUUCCUCUU
RNAcentral lists this ribosomal RNA (1878 nucleotides) under bacterium. RNAcentral's name for it is "partial 23S ribosomal RNA". It matches the Rfam family "Bacterial large subunit ribosomal RNA", at positions 690 to 2644 of the family's 2925-position model. The record is from RNAcentral.